This is a long non-coding RNA of Penaeus monodon (black tiger shrimp), 1813 nucleotides long. RefSeq lists it as uncharacterized. The record is from RefSeq and is a predicted model, not a curated record. Lineage: Eukaryota; Metazoa; Arthropoda; Malacostraca; Decapoda; Penaeidae. The transcript has 2 exons.
UAUACACAUUUACACUCGUGUGUGUACGUUCCCUCUCUGUCUGAACCCCAAAAUAGAAAUACGGAGAGAUAUAAAUAAAACCGUCCCUUUGAAACGAGCACCCCCACCCCCCUCAGCGUCCCCGUCUCUCGCAGCAGACGACACAACACACGGCGAAGAGGAGGAAGGAACAGGAAACGGGGAGAGACACGAACACACGAAUUCUGAAAGAUUUCAUAAGCGCUUUGCGGGUUUAUAUUAUUUUCUUUGCCUCGCAUUUAUUUAUUCAUUUUGGGGAGUGUGUGAGUUAAGAAAAAGAGACGUUUGGGAACGGAAGGAAGGAAAGCACGAUGAUGAUAAUUCUCCUGCUCCAUUUUAUGAACUAUAUUCGCAGAAAAGUGUUAGAGCGACUUUGGAUGAGGAAGAAAAGAGGGAUGUUAACGAAAUAUCGAUAAAGGAAAAAAAAGAAGGAAAAGGAGAAAGGAUGAGAAUGAUAAUGAUCAGAGAAAAACAUGAUAGGUGUGUAUGCGAAUCUUCGUCCUUUUAUCCUUUUAAUUUGUACUUAAACAUUAUCAGUGUUGUGUGGGCAACGGUGUGAUAAAGCGAAAAGAAUAUAUGUGAUGACUAUAUAUUUAUUUUCUUUACAUAUAUUGUAUAUGUAUAUGAAAAAAAAGUGAAGAAAAUGGAUGAGAGUUUAUUUUGGCGUCCCAACGGGUGGCCUCUUUUCCCCGUAAUAUGGAAGACGAAUGAAGUCGUGAGAUUUUAACUUCAGUUCUUCUGAAGAUUCUUCUUCAGUGAAUCUCUGGUCUACGAAAGGAAGUGAGAAAUAUAUUGUAUUAACCUCAUGUAUUGGGCCUGAGUUAUAAUUGUGGCCAACAGAUGGGUAUAUUAAAUGAUAUAUUUAUAUAUAUAUAUAUCUUUGUUUUCUCUAUGAUAUAAUUUCUUAUAGAUGCAGAAUGUUAUUUUAAGUUAUGAGUUAUGUAAGUAAGCACAAGUUUUAUGUUGUCAAGUAUAAGUUUGCUCAAGUCUGUUGUUUUAUAUAAAUCCUUUUGUAAAGUGAAUCUCUAGUGCAAGAUUUGUAGCCAAUUUUAGUGAGGAGAAAACUUUUUUGUACAAAUGUGUCUCAUAUCAAUAGAUUUUAAAAGCAAAACAUUGCAAGAGCAUUUAGUUUCCAGUAAUAGAAAGGCAUUUAUUAGGUUAAAGCAGUCCAGUAACUCAAAACAUCCCAAAAAAUCCUUGUUAUUUUAUUCACUUGGGAUUAUACAGUAUAGUCAUUAGAGACCAUAAGUCUCAUCUCAAUAGGUGUAGCACUGCACUAAAUUGCGUCCAUGACAUGAUGUUUGGCGGAGUCAUGUCUCACUGAAGAUAAUGUAGUGAUAGAACAAUUUUUAUCAUGUUGGAAAAUAAAGGCAUGAAUGUGAAUGAGUAACUAGCAUUUCUGUGGUUACAUUGUAAGAUGUAGCUAUUAAAAUGUGAAUUUUGUCGUCUCAUUCAUUCUUCAAAACUUGUCACAAUGAUAUGUUAGUCUUUUGCUUUUUACCCUUUCAUUUGUUUUUUCUUUAAUGAAAUUUAUCAAUUUUACUUUUUACAUGGUAUUGAUGAAAAAGAAAAAUGGAAAAUAUCUAAGCAGGGUAUUUACUGGUCUUUUAUUUCCACAAAUUUCCUCUCUUUCAAAGAUUGAAAAUUGCAGCUGUUAGAAGUUGAUGAAUAUGCUUCAGUGUAAUUGUUAAAAAGGGUUAAAUAUGAGUAUAUGUGGUUGUUAAAUUGCUUCAUCAUGAGUGCAAAAUUAUUAAAAACCCAUGGUAGGGAAAAAAAAAAAAAAAAAAAAAAAAAA